CGCCCGCCGGGGGCUCGCGCCGGCCACGAGGGAGCGUCCGCGGCCCGCACGCCGGCGCCGCGGAGGAGAGGUGAGCCCCGGGUCCCGCAGGUCGUCGUCCCCGCCGGGGCCGAGUCCCUCCUGCUGCCGCGUCGCGCCCCCGCGUGGAGCGGAUGGACACGGCGGAGUCCCGCGCGCGCCCGGGCACCGGGUAGGAGUGGGCCGCGCAAGGGCCGGCCGGCCUCCCCGGUGCCACCCUCCCCGGAUGGGCACACGUGGGCGUGUCCCCUCCGUCCACGCGCGGCGGCUUCACCCUCUCGGCUUUCGUCCAGGUUGCCGACUUCUGAAAUGGAGCCAUGAAGGUGAUAAGUAUGAUGUUUCCGUAAUACCUUUGGAUAUUUUCAGCUAA
RNAcentral lists this long non-coding RNA (388 nucleotides) under Dasypus novemcinctus (nine-banded armadillo). RNAcentral describes it as "lncRNA (ENSDNOG00000050873.1)". The record is from RNAcentral. Lineage: Eukaryota; Metazoa; Chordata; Mammalia; Cingulata; Dasypodidae.